AGACCCGAAACCCGGUGAUCUAGCCAUGGGCAGGUUGAAGGUUGGGUAACACUAACUGGAGGACCGAACCGACUAAUGUUGAAAAAUUAGCGGAUGACCUGUGGCUGGGGGUGAAAGGCCAAUCAAACCGGGAGAUAGCUGGUUCUCCCCGAAAGCUAUUUAGGUAGCGCCUCGUGAAUUCAUCUCCGGGGGUAGAGCACUGUUUCGGCUAGGGGGCCAUCCCGGCUUACCAACCCGAUGCAAACUGCGAAUACCGGAGAAUGUUAUCACGGGAGACACACGGCGGGUGCUAACGUCCGUCGUGAAGAGGGAAACAACCCAGACCGCCAGCUAAGGUCCCAAAGUCAUGGUUAAGUGGGAAACGAUGUGGGAAGGCCCAGACAGCCAGGAUGUUGGCUUAGAAGCAGCCAUCAUUUAAAGAAAGCGUAAUAGCUCACUGGUCGAGUCGGCCUGCGCGGAAGAUGUAACGGGGCUAAACCAUGCACCGAAGCUGCGGCAGCGACACUCAGGUGUUGUUGGGUAGGGGAGCGUUCUGUAAGCCUGCGAAGGUGGCCUGUGAGGGUUGCUGGAGGUAUCAGAAGUGCGAAUGCUGACAUAAGUAACGAUAAAGCGGGUGAAAAGCCCGCUCGCCGGAAGACCAAGGGUUCCUGUCCAACGUUAAUCGGGGCAGGGUGAGUCGACCCCUAAGGCGAGGCCGAAAGGCGUAGUCGAUGGGAAACGGGUUAAUAUUCCCGUACUUGGUGUUACUGCGAAGGGGGGACGGAGAAGGCUAUGUUGGCCGGGCGACGGUUGUCCCGGUUUAAGCGUGUAGGUGUGUGUUCCAGGUAAAUCCGGUUCACUUUAACACUGAGGCGUGACGACGAGGCACUACGGUGCUGAAGCAACAAAUGCCCUGCUUCCAGGAAAAGCCUCUAAGCAUCAGGUAACAUCAAAUCGUACCCCAAACCGACACAGGUGGUCAGGUAGAGAAUACCAAGGCGCUUGAGAGAACUCGGGUGAAGGAACUAGGCAAAAUGGUGCCGUAACUUCGGGAGAAGGCAC
This 1041-nucleotide ribosomal RNA is filed under the name Salmonella enterica subsp. enterica serovar Panama. RNAcentral describes it as "partial 23S ribosomal RNA". It matches the Rfam family "Bacterial large subunit ribosomal RNA", at positions 711 to 1749 of the family's 2925-position model. The record is from RNAcentral. Lineage: Bacteria; Pseudomonadati; Pseudomonadota; Gammaproteobacteria; Enterobacterales; Enterobacteriaceae.